AGCAGCCGCGGUAAUUCCAGCUCCAAUAGCGUAUAUUAAAGUUGUUGCAGUUAAAAAGCUCGUAGUUGAAUUUCGGGGUUAGUAGGUUGGUCAUGCCUCUGGUAUGUACUGGUCCCACUGAUUCCUCCUUCCUGAUGAACCUUAAUGCCAUUAAUUUGGUGUUUUGGGGAAUUUGGACUGUUACUUUGAAAAAAUUAGAGUGUUUAAAGCAAGCUAACGCUUGAAUACAUUAGCAUGGAAUAAUGAAAUAGGACGUUCGAUCCUAUUUUGUUGGUUUCUAGGAUUGACGUAAUGAUUAAUAGGGAUAGUUGGGGGCAUUAGUAUUCAAUUGUCAGAGGUGAAAUUCUUGGAUUUAUUGAAGACUAACUACUGCGAAAGCAUUUGCCAAGGAUGUUUUCAUUAAUCAAGAACGAAAGUUAGGGAUCGAAGACGAUCAGAUACCGUCGUAGUCUUAACCAUAAACUAUGCCGACUAGGGAUCGGAUGAUGUUAAUUUUUAUGUACUCAUUCGGCGCCUUACG
RNAcentral lists this ribosomal RNA (520 nucleotides) under uncultured Glomus. RNAcentral's name for it is "SSU rRNA". It matches the Rfam family "Eukaryotic small subunit ribosomal RNA", at positions 569 to 1092 of the family's 1831-position model. The record is from RNAcentral. Lineage: Eukaryota; Fungi; Glomeromycota; Glomeromycetes; Glomerales; Glomeraceae.